GAUGAAGAACGUAGCGAAAUGCGAUAAGUAAUGUGAAUUGCAGAAUUCAGUGAAUCAUCGAAUCUUUGAACGCACCUUGCACCCUUUGGCAUUCCGAAGGGUAUGCUCGUUUGAGUGUCAUUGUACUCUCACACUUCUGAUCCUUUGGAUUGGGAGCGGUGGACUUGGGUGUUGCUGCUUUACUGUGGCUCACCUCAAAUGCAUUCGUGCAACUCUUGGUUGGACAUAGUACGGCGUGAUAAGUAUCUUCGCCGGCACCUCGCAAGAGGGUGGCUGAUCAGGAGCUCUGUGCUUUCCAACUGUCUUCAGACAACAACUGACAACUUGACCUCAAAUCGAGUAGGACCACCCGCUGAACUUAAGCAUAUCAAUAAGCAGGA
This 380-nucleotide unclassified non-coding RNA is filed under the name soil metagenome. RNAcentral describes it as "partial contains 5.8S ribosomal RNA, internal transcribed spacer 2, and large subunit ribosomal RNA". The stretch from base 1 to 120 matches the Rfam family "5.8S ribosomal RNA", at positions 35 to 154 of the family's 154-position model. The record is from RNAcentral.